This is a long non-coding RNA of Mangifera indica (mango), 1379 nucleotides long. RefSeq lists it as uncharacterized. The record is from RefSeq and is a predicted model, not a curated record. The transcript has 2 exons. Lineage: Eukaryota; Viridiplantae; Streptophyta; Magnoliopsida; Sapindales; Anacardiaceae.
AUCUUCCCCAUCAUGACCACUGCACCUUAUAAUGAUAAACGAGUACUCGGCUGAAGUACCUCCCCAGAGGAUUCUUACGGCAAAAAUCGUAAUCAAACCAAUCACAGAAAGUGAAUUAAAGCCCUGUUUCAGGAAAAAGAAAAGAAGCGGUCAAACAAAAACCCAAAAUGAUUUAAGGAGAUUUUAAGUGGGGUUUACAUACCUAGCUUCUUUCCUUCACUUUUCUCUUUGUUUUUUAUCCUUUGACAUGAUCAGGGCUUACUUGUGAUGUUGAAUAUGUAUUUGGUAGCACCACCCGGAGACAAUACAAGAUAACCACCACCACAUGCCUAUUGUAUGCAGAACCCCAAGCACACCAGCUCGCGAGGGUUAGUUUUGUGUACACCUUUUUGGGUUUAGAGUCUCUAGUUUUAUCUUGCUUUAAAUUCAUCAAGAAACCGACUUUAGUUCCCAACCAAUUUGUAUAAGAAUGACCUAGAUUCCUUUUCAAUGACGUGACUAAUCCUAGAGCAACCCUCCAACUUUUAUAUCACCGCAAAACGAACAGCCUCAUAGGCUCUCCUCAUGUUGUGGCUCAUGUCAGAAUGAUUCACCUGGAAUGGUGACACUGUUCUAUAGCUUCCUUCUCUUACUUCGCGUCUAGGUUGAUGUGACAAUGAAAAGCCAUACACACAGAGCACAGAAGCUUUUUCCUUCGAUUCCAGGAAUAUAUCAUUUCUCAUUUACCAAAUUACCAAACUUUUGCCCAGUUGCAGUCUGGAAGGUACUAUAUAAAAGGAUGGUAAACGUGACUGUAGUAACGUACAGCAUUUUAUUUCCACUGAAUAUAUAUGAAUGACCUCUUUUAUUGUUACCCAGACAAUAAUUGCAUUAAAAUGGACUAUUAUAGCUCUCAAUGAAUAGUAUGAGUGACAAAGAUGUAUGACAAAAAUAAGAACACUUAAGCUAAAAAACAUGAAUUUAAAACUUGCUAGAGACAUGUAAAAUCAAAUUCUUGACCUAAAAUGUCGUGGGUGGCAAACAGUUUCAAGUGUCACUUAAGUAAGUUUGUGAAUUUGUAAACAAAGCCUUUAGAGGGUUUUCCAUGUAAUGACACCGAUGAGAGCAGCUUCACAAAAAUUUGCAUUCCUGUAUGUAUUUUUGUUGCCAGAUUAGUCUGUCUUCUUCUGGCCACUAAAGUGAAGCACUUUUCUGACUGAAAAAAGUCACUCUAAGAAAGGCAUAAAAAAUUCAUAGAAUGGGUGCGAGGUAAAAGUAGGCUUUGCUAUGGAAAUGUCACUAGAGCCACAAACUUAUAAAUUAGAAUAUCAUUACGCCACUCUGAAAUAUUGUACUACAAGUCUCUAUUCAAUAGAAAAUGACAUAACAACAUAAACAAA